Molecule: non-coding RNA, 88 nt
Organism: Gossypium arboreum
Lineage: Eukaryota; Viridiplantae; Streptophyta; Magnoliopsida; Malvales; Malvaceae
Source: Rfam
GGAGGGAUUGCCUAGUGGCUUAAGGCAUUGGUUUGCUAAAUCGACAUAAAAUAAAAUUGUAUCAUGGGUUCGAAUCCCAUUUCCUCUG